GGGGAUGCCAGGCAUCGACAGUUGGAUUUUUUCUAAAUAUUCAAAGCGUGCUUAGCUGUCACGUUAAACCGGCUAAAAAACAUAAAUGUCAAAAAGACAAAAGCAUUUACUUGGAAUGUUCCAAGUUAUGCACCAGUUUUAGCUUAAAUACAAGCUUAAACCAUCAAAAAUAGUAAUUUCUCAUAGCUAUUUCUUGGUGUCAUAAUCAUGAGGAUAUAUUUAAUUUUCUUUCUCGAAAUUAAAUUGAAUUAAAUAGAGAAAUCGCUUGAAUCGCUUUUUGCCAGGUUUAUUAUGAUUCAGGUUAAAUCCAAUAAAUCAGGCUAUCUUUGUAAAUGUGUUUAGAAAAACCGAUUGGACAUGGGUUCAACUCCCAUCAUCUCCACAU
Molecule: transfer-messenger RNA, 385 nt
Filed under: Patescibacteria group bacterium
Lineage: Bacteria
Also listed under: 1 other name
Rfam family: transfer-messenger RNA
About the family: Bacterial tmRNA, also known as 10Sa RNA or SsrA, is named for its dual tRNA and mRNA-like properties. Its role is to liberate the mRNA from a stalled ribosome.
Source: RNAcentral